UUAGUUCAUAGACACAAACCAAAAGCACCAUCAAUUCAGUUCAGAGACACAAAGCAGAAGCACCAUCAAUUCGGUUCAAUUCAAACCAUUUCGACAAUCAAUCCAGUUCAGACACACAAACUAAAUGCUAAAUCAAUUCAGUUCAGAUAAACAGACUUAAUCAAUUUGACAACCAUUCCAAUUCAGAUAAGACAAACAGACUAAACCAAUUCAGUUCAGCGAUAAAGAUGCGUGUUACCUUUAUUGCCAUUGUAGUCGAACGUUGAUGAACCUUCAUGUUUGUUGAUCCGUAAGACGAACAUCGAUAUCCUCUUGAUCGGAACCAUCUCAA
This 331-nucleotide long non-coding RNA is filed under the name Brassica napus (rape). RNAcentral describes it as "long non-coding RNA (BNAP_LNC018942)". Lineage: Eukaryota; Viridiplantae; Streptophyta; Magnoliopsida; Brassicales; Brassicaceae. The record is from RNAcentral.